CUUGGCUCAAUUUGAUCUUAAACUUUCACCGUUUGGGGUUUGUCUGUGUGCUUGGCACAUCUUUAUGGACUGUGGCAUUGGGAAUCUGCAUUAUAAAAGCAAUUAUUUCUCAUAGUAAAAGGGAAAAUGAUAGCUCAGAUUAAUGUGCAAGUUGGGUCUUCUGAUGAAGAUAUGUUCUCAUUUAUAAUUUAAAGCUGAUAGAACUGAACUAAGUCCAGGCUCAGUAUUAGCGUUCAACUUAAUAAAGGAGUCUUGGCUUUCAGCAGUAGGAAACAAUGAUCAGGGAGAGGCAUCCUAGUGUUUUGGUGUGGGAUUACAGGAGUUUGAUAGAGGAGAACUUAAGAUCCCAAGACAACUUGUCAGUCUGUGGAUCUGCACAUCACCUUGUUUUGACGAUGUCCAGCACUGAGGUUUUUUCCCCAAAAGUUACUGCUUUCCUAUCUAGUGUGUGAAGUUUAAAGUUACUUGUCUCUCCUACGGAUGACUUAACUGACCUUGGCCUUGUAAGUUUCCUGUUGAAUAAACUGCUGAAUGUUGAAAGCAAGUGAAAUGUGAAAUAAAACCAUCCUGCUGGGAUGAAAAGC
Molecule: long non-coding RNA, 584 nt
Filed under: Pongo abelii (Sumatran orangutan)
Lineage: Eukaryota; Metazoa; Chordata; Mammalia; Primates; Hominidae
Description: lincRNA
Source: RNAcentral